RNAcentral lists this ribosomal RNA (477 nucleotides) under uncultured anaerobic ammonium-oxidizing bacterium. RNAcentral's name for it is "bacterial SSU rRNA". It matches the Rfam family "Bacterial small subunit ribosomal RNA", at positions 365 to 832 of the family's 1533-position model. The record is from RNAcentral.
UUCGCAAUGCCCGAAAGGGUGACGAAGCGACGCCGCGUGCGGGAAGAAGGCCUUCGGGUUGUAAACCGCUGUCGGGAGUUAAGAAAUGCAGAGAUGUUAAUAGCGUCUUUGCUUGACUAAGGCUCCGGAGGAAGCCACGGCUAACUCUGUGCCAGCAGCCGCGGUAAUACAGAGGCGGCAAGCGUUGUUCGGAAUUAUUGGGCGUAAAGAGCACGUAGGCGGCUGUGUAAGUCGGUUGUGAAAGCCUUCUGCUCAACGGAAGAACAGCAGCCGAUACUGCAUAGCUUGAGUGCGGAAGGGGAGAGUGGAACUUCUGGUGGAGCGGUGAAAUGCGUAGAUAUCAGAAGGAACACCGGCGGCGAAGGCGACUCUCUGGUCCGUAACUGACGCUGAGUGUGCGAAAGCUAGGGGAGCAAACGGGAUUAGAUACCCCGGUAGUCCUAGCCGUAAACGAUGGGCACUAAGUAGAGGGGUUUU